GAUGAACGCUGGCGGCGUGCUUAACACAUGCAAGUCGAACGAUGAAGCCCAGCUUGCUGGGUGGAUUAGUGGCGAACGGGUGAGUAACACGUGAGUAACCUGCCCUUAACUCUGGGAUAAGCCUGGGAAACUGGGUCUAAUACCGGAUAGGAGCGUCCACCGCAUGGUGGGUGUUGAAAAGAUUUAUCGGUUUUGGAUGGACUCGCGGCCUAUCAGCUUGUUGGUGAGGUAAUGGCUCACCAAGGCGACGACGGGUAGCCGGCCUGAGAGGGUGACCGGCCACACUGGGACUGAGACACGGCCCAGACUCCUACGGGAGGCAGCAGUGGGGAAUAUUGCACAAUGGGCGCAAGCCUGAUGCAGCGACGCCGCGUGAGGGAUGACGGCCUUCGGGUUGUAAACCUCUUUCAGUAGGGAAGAAGCGAAAGUGACGGUACCUGCAGAAGAAGCACCGGCUAACUACGUG
RNAcentral lists this ribosomal RNA (466 nucleotides) under uncultured bacterium. RNAcentral's name for it is "partial 16S ribosomal RNA". It matches the Rfam family "Bacterial small subunit ribosomal RNA", at positions 28 to 507 of the family's 1533-position model. The record is from RNAcentral.